GAACAAUCUUGUAAUCUGUCAUAAGUAUUUAGAUGCAUCCUGGGGAAAGGCCCGGCAUGGCCUGUCGUUUUUAUUUUGGGUAGUGAGAACGAAUUGCCUCAGCCCCAGCAACGUGGUUUAUUUCAGAACAGAGGUGCUGAGGAAGCAAGUUUCAUCAGGCAAGCUCCAACCACCCUCAACCCAUGAAAUCACCCUCUCAUGGUGGAAAAUUU
This 212-nucleotide unclassified non-coding RNA is filed under the name Hevea brasiliensis (rubber tree). Lineage: Eukaryota; Viridiplantae; Streptophyta; Magnoliopsida; Malpighiales; Euphorbiaceae. The record is from RNAcentral.